Molecule: ribosomal RNA, 253 nt
Filed under: uncultured bacterium
Lineage: Bacteria
Description: partial 16S ribosomal RNA
Rfam family: Bacterial small subunit ribosomal RNA
Source: RNAcentral
UACGGAGGGAGCAAGCGUUACUCGGAAUUAUUGGGCGUAAAGGGCGCGUAGGCGAUCUGAAAAGUUCUGUGUGAAAGCCCACAUGUUAACUGUGGAAGUGCACAGAAAACUGUUGGAUUUGAGUUCAGGAGAGGAAGGCAGAAUUCCCGGUGUAGCGGUGAAAUGCGUAGAGAUCGGAAGGAAUACCAGUGGCGAAGGCGGCCUUCUGGACUGACACUGACGCUGAGGCGCGAAAGCCAGGGGAGCAAACGGG